RNAcentral lists this ribosomal RNA (95 nucleotides) under Saimiri boliviensis boliviensis (Bolivian squirrel monkey). Lineage: Eukaryota; Metazoa; Chordata; Mammalia; Primates; Cebidae. The record is from RNAcentral.
CUCUACACCCAUACUACCCUGACUGCUCCCGACCUCAUCUGAUCUUGGAGGCUAAGUAGGGUCGGGCCUGGUUAAUACUUGGACAGGAGAAAAGA